Sesamum indicum (sesame) is the source of this 877-nucleotide long non-coding RNA. RefSeq lists it as uncharacterized. NCBI's taxonomy places the organism in Eukaryota, Viridiplantae, Streptophyta, Magnoliopsida, Lamiales, Pedaliaceae. The record is from RefSeq and is a predicted model, not a curated record.
ACAAAUUCUCUCUAGAGGGCAAAACGUUCCUUCCUCAUCUCCAGAUCUGCUCUUUGUUCUCUCCAUUGUUGGUCAGUGAGCGAAGCUCCUGUUAGCUUCUCCUGUGAAGUUCGUCUCCCGAAUACAUCAAAAGUACGAAUCACCAUUGAUUUGUUGCCCUCAUUGCUCAAGUUUACAAAAGAUUGAAAGAAAUACAAGAGCAAAAAGACAAGCAAGUGAAGAUGAAAUCUAUGGGCGUCCAGAUCAAAUGAUGGAAGUGCAGGAGAACCUUCAGGCAUCAGUACUGAAUGUUGAACACAACUUACUGAAUGUUCAACAGCAACUCCAAAGUGUGGUUGAGCAACUACAGCAAUACAACAAGAACAAGUCUAUCCUAGGAGAUGGUUUGACUGCAGCCAUGGACAAGGGAUCUAACUCUAAAGCUGCCAUACACAACCCCUUCAAACAGGAAGGGGGUAGCAUCUUUAGGCAGGAACAACACAGCUCACAAAGCAAAGGGACCUACAAUGUUUUGAACAGACUAGAGUUCCCUUACUUUGAUGGGAAAAAUGGUAGAUGUUGGGUGAGGAGGUGCUCGAGAUACUUUGAAUUGAUACCCAUACCUGGAUCAAAAGGUAUCUAUGGCAUCUAUCUAUAUGCAAGGAAAAUCAGAACUCUAGUACCAAUGCUACACUGAAAAAGGGAGUUCAGUUCUUGAGAUGAACUGGUGUGUUAAUGUCCUAGAAAGGUUUGAGGAGCUGGAUAAUGAAAGGGUCAUGACAGAGUUCAAUAAAAUCCACCAUGAGACCAUGGUAAAUGUGUACCUGGAAAAUGAGCAUCCACGGUCAAUUGGAAUGGCUUAAUCCACCCUUUUUCUUUUCUCUGUUAAGCCUUCUAU